RNAcentral lists this unclassified non-coding RNA (236 nucleotides) under Hevea brasiliensis (rubber tree). The record is from RNAcentral. Lineage: Eukaryota; Viridiplantae; Streptophyta; Magnoliopsida; Malpighiales; Euphorbiaceae.
UGGUAUGAUAUCAACCCAUCUCCUCACCAUGACCUCCAUGCUCUCCAAAAUCACCAUGAAAUCAGAGACCUUGGUUUUUGUGCUAACCCCACACCUGAAAAUCUUCUCUUACAGCCUAUGGACUCUUCCUCUUCUUGCUCUCCCUCGCAGGCCUUUACUCUAGACCCAGCACAGGCACACCAGCCUUUUUUCCCCCCCAAAUCCUGCUUCUCUUCCCUUCUCAAUGUCACCAACGC